This 64-nucleotide transfer RNA is filed under the name Cavia porcellus (domestic guinea pig). It matches the Rfam family "tRNA". Rfam says of the family: Transfer RNA (tRNA) molecules are approximately 80 nucleotides in length. Their secondary structure includes four short double-helical elements and three loops (D, anti-codon, and T loops). Further hydrogen bonds mediate the characteristic L-shaped molecular structure. tRNAs have two regions of fundamental functional importance: the anti-codon, which is responsible for specific mRNA codon recognition, and the 3' end, to which the tRNAs corresponding amino acid is attached (by aminoacyl-tRNA synthetases). tRNAs cope with the degeneracy of the genetic code in two manners: having more than one tRNA (with a specific anti-codon) for a particular amino acid; and 'wobble' base-pairing, i.e. permitting non-standard base-pairing at the 3rd anti-codon position. Lineage: Eukaryota; Metazoa; Chordata; Mammalia; Rodentia; Caviidae. The record is from Rfam by way of RNAcentral.
GGGGAUUUAGCUUAGUAGCAUAAGCACCUGCCUGGCAAGCUCGAGGUUGCGAGUUCAAUCCCCA